This 550-nucleotide ribosomal RNA is filed under the name Comatricha longipila. Its description in RNAcentral is "SSU rRNA". It matches the Rfam family "Eukaryotic small subunit ribosomal RNA", at positions 28 to 450 of the family's 1831-position model. The record is from RNAcentral. Lineage: Eukaryota; Evosea; Eumycetozoa; Stemonitida; Stemonitidae.
AUGCUUUUCCCGAAGAUUAAGCCAUGCAUGCCCCUGAAGAAGAGUAGCAUCUCUGAAUCUGCGAACGGCUCCGCAAACCAGUUGUAACCCAAGGCAAGUUAACACCUGCGUCGCUUCUAGCCGACGGGACCCCUAAACCAGGUCCCCCGGCACGCGGCCUGGUGCAUUUGGAUAUCCACGGUAAUUCUGAGGCUAAUACAUGUUUGUCGGCUUUUGCCGAACACUGAACCUACGCCCCGUAAAAACGGGCUAGGGGCACGUGCGGGCCCGACCUCCCGCUGGACUAGUAACCAACCUCAUGAAAGAACGCACUGUGCAGACCGUCGCUAUACAUGGGUCCUGCUGCUUUCCGCCCGUAAAAACGGCGGAACCAAAGCGGCAGGGCUCGGCGGCGCUUGCCAGGGGCUUCUGACCUAUCAACUAGAUGGCAGCGUAACGGACAUGCCUUGGUGACAACGGGUACAGAGGAUUAGAGUUCGAUUCUGGAGAGUGGGCCUGAGAGAUUGCUCACACUUCUAAGGAAGGCAGCAGGCGCGCAACGUUCCCCAUG